Non-coding RNA from Equus caballus (horse), 6110 nucleotides. The record is from RefSeq and is a predicted model, not a curated record. NCBI's taxonomy places the organism in Eukaryota, Metazoa, Chordata, Mammalia, Perissodactyla, Equidae.
GCUGCGUGUGGCCAUCUGCAAACUGCCACCCCCAGGGGAGGAGCGCUGAUGAGACCUGUGGGAUCCUUUGCCCCCAGAGGGGAGCAUUUAGCAUUCGUGCAUACACAUUUCUCCAGAUAAGGGUUAGAACCAGCUACUCCUCAGGGGCUCCUGUUAGGAGGCUGCAUUUAUAGAAGAGGUGUGAGAAAUUGUUCAAGAAUUCAAGGCAUUUUUCUUUGCCUUGGAUGGAAAAUAGGUAGUGAUUGCUCUGAUCCUCAGACAGGGCCGCGGGGUUUUUCUGAGGGCUUCCCGCCCCAGUGCCGUGCUAGGAACUCGCUUUGGCUUCAUGUUUGCAUGUUGGCCGGAGGAGAGGCCCGGAGUGUUGAAGUGACUCGCCCAGUGCUGUCACUGAACCAGUGUGUCUCAGGGAUUGUGAUGUGUGUGCUGUGGCUCCACUCAACUCCAAAGCCAGCGGCUGUACCGUCCUGCCUUUUUUUAGAUUUUAUCCUAGAUGCCCGGGCUUUUGUUCAAAAGUAGUUGUUUUCACUUAAAACCCCAAAGCAGGAGUAGAGGGUGUUCAGAUAACCCGAAGUGGAAGUGGGUGCGGAGGGCGAGGCCUCGGCUAGAAUUCGGGCCUCGCUGUUUCCUCAGAGAUGGUUUGAGUUGCAGUGAGGGUCAUGUGUUAAACCCCGCCCCAAAUGGCAUCAGGGACACCCUGUAUGCUCUGCCUGGAUCUGCAGCGGCAGAAGGCCAGGCUGGCCCCACAGGGUUCCCCAGCGUUGGAAGCAGAGAGAGCCUGGGACUCUCUGCAUCCUAAGAAAAUAGAGUGAGGGGUGUGGCACGCACGAGGCAGACAGAGCCUCUGGCUGCUGGUUCCGCAGCACCUGUCACCUGUCACUCAGUCACAUUCAUCCUCAGGCAGGCUCCUUUCCCUUCAGGGCAGGAGGCCCUGCUGGGGGCUUGCUGUUGGUGCUCGGGCUGAGAUGCAGUGGGGGCACAGAGGAAGAAGGGGACCGGGAUUCUGCUGCAGCCUCUGCCACCAUCUGCUGCUCAGCCCUUUGGGCAAGUAUUUCCUGAGUGGACAGAUGCUUGCAGCAGAGUGACCUGGGACUGACCAAUGAUCCUCCCUCCAUCGCCUGAGGACAGAAUGGGGCCUCUCCCAGGAGCGCUGUACAGAUCAACAAUCCCACGCUCUGGUUAAAUAGACCAGUUGUGUGGUUAGUUGGGGAUUCAGAUGGCUGUGCCUUCUUGCCAUUCCUGGAAUGUCUCUUAAACUGAGCGGCUUGUGCUGACUGAGAAGCGCACCUGCUCCCCCACGUGGGCAGCACUGCUCUCUCGUGAGGCCUGCAUGUCCACUACAGUGACCCAUAUUCUCCGCAGCCCCAAGACGUGGGUCUUAUUAUCUCAGGAGUCUCUUGUGCAUCCCAGGCAGACACUGUCAUUCCCAUUUGACAGCUGAGGAAGCUGAGGGUGUGAAGCGUGAAGCAGCUCAGGGGGCUGGUAGGAGAUAGGAGGCCAGGUCUCUGGGUACCAGCACAGCCCUCGUUCCAUCAUCCUGGGCACCUGCAGAUGCAUGACCCCAGGGAGCUCUGACAACAUGUUUUCUGCUUGUAUUUUUUGAUGAUUACUUAUUUUUCCUGAUGAUGACAGCAUGUUCAUUACAGAAGAUAUAGAAUAUAGAGCAAAGUAUAAAUAAGACAAUAAAACGCCAACUGUCCCGCCACUUGGGGAGCCUAGGAACUUUGUAAACAGAGGUCGUGCUUCAUCUCCCUGAAGGCUCGUUAUAAUUAAGCCACAGAAAGAAUUUCAAAUCCCCUUCUUGUCCCUUUUUAUUCCGUAACUCUUCCAACCUCCACGCCGGCCUGGGUGCUGGAUUCUAAAACCACAGGCUAAAGUCCUCCAGGCCCCUGAGCUGCCCCAGUGUGGCCUGGAUUCCCUGCCGUGUCGCAGCUGUGACUUUCUUCCCUGGGGGAGGCAGGCCUCCAUGGCAGAAGGGGGGGAGGAGUUGCUGCACUCUGGAGCAACAGCACUGGCUCCUGUAGGGUGUCCACCCCCCGGGUGCAGGGUCUGAAGGAGCUCGGGAACUCGGGCUUGGGACAGACCUGUGGCCAUGUCUGGAAGAGUCUCACCUGCUGUGCAGCCUCCUUCUGCUGUGGGGAGCUGAGUCCAGGACUAGCCAUUGAGGACAGAGGAAGGCCAGGCCCAGAGGAGGGCUUCAGCAAAGCAGAACUGGAACACAAAGGAAACUGAGGCGGCAGCCCAGAUGGACUGACCGUGAUGCAGGAAAGCUUAGGAGGAGGCUGCGGGAGAGCUGGCCCAGCAGGACAGAGAGGCAGGGGCUGCAGCCGCUGUGGCCCGGAGCCCGGGGCUGGGCUGGCUGCUUCCAGGCAGGGUCAAAGUGGCUCACAUCUCCUGGGGUGCUUUCCUUCCUGGGGCUGCGAAAGGACAUCUGGCAGUGCUGUGAGCCCUCAGAGGCACCUGUUAAGUUGGCACCAUCUACCUGCAGCCUUGGCCAUGACCAUUCCCAGAGACUGGGGGCCCUGAGUGUGUGCGGAGCCCUGUGGGGCUCAGAGAGCUGGGUGAGACCUGGUGCCUGCGCAGGAGGCCAGGGCAGAAUGUGAGUGGGUAGGCCUGCACCCGGCCAGCUGCCAAGCUCACAGGGGCACAGAGCAGGAGGAAUUCCAACUGGUGGGGCCAGGAAGGCGUCCCUGAGAAGCUGGCAUUGGAGCCAGGCCUUGGGGAAGAGUAGGAUUUCAAUAAACAAAGCACACGGGGUGAAGCCUUCUGGGCCCAGGGCUCAGCCUGAGAGGAGGCUGGGCUGAGAGGACAGGGCGUUCCCCUCAGGGUGAGUCUGCAGGUGUUUUCCUCAGGCUGUUUGGGAUUUUAUUGCUCUUUAGCUAGACACUCAUCUUGGUUAGGCACCUGGCCUGUGAAAGCAAGCAAGCAGUCACAGGCCAAAUAUGGGGAUCCAGCGCGAAGCGGGGGGAGUGGGGUGGGCUGAGGUUUGGAGACAGGAGCCCCGGGGCCUGGGCUCCAGCCCCAGUUUUACCUCUUAUAAGUUUUGUUUCUCUGGAGCCUUAGUUUCUCAUCUGUAAAAUGGGCUUACAAUACCUAAUAAUAUGAUACUAACAAGUACUUGGUAAAUAUUAAUAAUAGUACUAAACGUGAAAAAAGGUAGCCUGCUGUUACCGACAGCUAUCGAAUAUCAUGGUGAAAAAUCACGUCAUUUACGCUCAGACCUUUGGUCUCAGUGAACUGCAAGGAGGAAAUGCGUGAAUCUGGACCCCUGUCUCCCAAUUCGGAAGAGGAUUCUGAGUGUAGUUUUCCUCUAGAUGUUUUAGCUCGGCAUUCAAGGCCUCUCAAAGGCUAGCCUCCCCUUCCUUCUCUUGGCUCCGUUCUCUCCUACCAUGACCAUGUGCUGCCCAGCCCCGUGCCUUUCUGUAGAGGCGCUGAGCGAAUUGUCUUCGCUGGUCUCCAGGGAGGUGACCAUCAGAACCCCACACCCAUCCUGCCACCUCCAGCUCCUGUAGAUUCGGGGUCUGGAAUUUGGGCCCCACUGGUCCAGAGCGUCUGUCUGCAACCUGGACUCCUUUGUCAUCGCUGACCAGAGGCCUGGAGAGGCCACCUGAUCCUUCUCCUUGUCAGCUGAUCAUAGUCCUACCCAUUCUUCGAGGCCCAGAUUAUGAGGCAGAAAGCGGGAGAGAACAGGCUGGACCAGGGGUGCUCCAUCCAGGAGGUCUGGACAUGGGGGCUCCAUGUACAGAGGCAGGAGCCACUGGAGUGAGGCAGCUCAGGGAGUGGCAGGUAGGCUUGUUGCUGACCCUGAGGGAUGGCAACAGGGGGCUGAGAAGGAAGAAAGAAACAGAGAGGUCUGGGCUGCCUUUCGUUGGGAGAGUGGCAGGUGCACAUGUCCUUGCCCCUAACUCCUGCCCCCUGGCCUCUGCAGAGGAGAGAGGAUGGGGCCAGACCCCUCCAGGUGCUCCCAGCCUGCGCCGCCGCCGCCUCCCUCCCCACCCCCACGAAGCUGCUCUUAGCCUCCCUGAGCCACGUGUUCGCUGUCUUUGCAAUCAGGGCUUGUAAACCUGUUUUGCUGGCUUAUGGUGAGGAUAAGUGAGGCAAGGUUUGUAAAGAGUCUUAUUUAUUAUUUUCUCUUAGCAGCUGCAUGAAAAAUGUCAUAGGAUCUGCGGGAAAAGUAUAAGUCACUAAAAAUUUAAUGUGAACUGUUAAGUUUGUGAACCACAGGCUGGCGUCACACCAGCUCUCGCUGUCUGAGUGGUGGCCCUGGAUCCGAGCUGGCCUCUGGAGCUGGAAACCUCACCUUUUGCCAGGGCCAAGAAUGAUUCUGACCUAAGCAGGUGUGUCUGCUGGAGCCAGGGCCAGCCGGGGUCCUAGGGCUAGACGUCACAAAGGAGACGGAGGCUGAGCAGGACAUGGCCAGCUGGACAAAGGAGGGCAGCGUGGUUUAGAGCGGAAAGGGCUGAGUGGCCUUGGGAAAAUUAUUAGACCCUUCUGAAACUCAGCUUCUCCAAUAAAAACCAGGAUGAUAAUACCCACAAUGCUUGGAGAAGAAUGACAGGAACUGACUAUUGAAAGCGCCUGGCCGGGUACCUGGCACACAGCAGGUGUGCAUGAUUAUUCUACACUGAGGAAGCUGCGUGUGUGGCCAUCAGUCUGCCUUGGUGCACAGGUGGAAGUCGCUCCAAGUGUAGCCUCUAAAGGUCACCACCUGUCAGGUGUGAUUCGCGUGCUGGAGGCCCUGUGUCCAUGGUUCGUAGUCUCCUGCAGUUCAAGAAUCUCUGUCCAGGCUGGCUGCCACCCCUUCACUCCUUCCUCAUGGGCUGUUGCAACAUCCUCAGUGCCUCCUCCCUGCCCCUCCGAAGGCAUCUGGCCAAGGGGGAGGAACAGACCUGUUGUUGGGGUUGGACAGACCUGUGUUCAGGUGCGACUUAGCCGUCUCCACAGCAUGUGUCCUUGGGCAGGUAACAUAAAGCUGCUCUGAGCCUCAAGUUUCUCUUCUUCUAAGUUGAUGCUGAUUCAACUACCUCACAGGUGGGUAGUGAGAUUUAAAGAAGACACACACAGAGAUUUCCAGCACAGCGCUCAGCACGUGGUUGGUGCUCCCUCAGUGGUGGUUGUUGUUAGCCACGGACCUCUUCCUUCCCAGAGCCACUCCGCACGCCUGGGCUUCAGGACUGCUCCUCUGUAACCCUCCUUUGUUGCUCUCCUGGACAAAAUGCCUCAGUAGCACCCUGAUUCUUUUUGUCUCACUCCUCAAUGCCUCUUACUGAAUUUCGGUCCUCUCGCUUCAUUAGCUCUGCGCUCCACACUCUGUAUUCAUAUCUCCUCACUCGCUUACAACAAUGCCGAGAUUACUCAUGCUUCUGCUUGCCAUAUCCUCCUUUGUUGACCUGGUGAACUCCUACUUGAUCUUUGAUACCCAGCUCUUCUGGGCUGUCUUCUCUCUCAUCCUGCCCAGGAGAUCUUCCUCCCUCUGGGCUGUCCCGGCACCCUCUUUGUGCCUUCACGAGAGCACACGUCAGGUUGGAUCACAGAAAUUUGCCUCUGCACCUGUUUAUCCUGCUAAACUAUGAACAACUCAAGUGAUCAUGUCUUAGUCAUCUUUGGACUUGCCCCAGUGAUGAACUCAGUACUUACACAGGGCAUGACACGUAGUAGAUGCUCAGUCAGCACGUGACCGAACUUGACUCAUCGAGUCCUCGCUAGUCUCUUUGGUGUGAACUCAACAACACCCAGGUUUGUCCACAGCGCCUGGGCCAGGUGUACGCACAGUGGACUCUCAGUGUGAAUAACUGCACCAUUAUAUGUCGUUUGGUUAGGUGUAGUAAUAGCAGUAGUAAUAAUAAUAAUAAUCAGUAUUUGGCAUUUGUUGAAUGCCUAAGAUGUACCAGUUUCCAUGCUAAGUACUUUAAAUUCAUUCUCAUGUACUCCUCAUAUAACAAUAUGUUAUUGUCUUCAUUUUACAGGGGAAAAAUCUGAAGCACAGAAAAGUUAAAUGACUAGAUCAAGGUCACACAGAUAAUUUGUGAUGGGUUGAGGAUUUGAGCUCAAGCCCAUCAGAUUCUAGAGUCUAUAUUUCAGUCACCCUAUAAAAAGCUACCUGUGUUACUUAC